GCAGUUGAUGAACAAAAUAUUCUUCACUUUGACCUGAUUUAAAUAGUGGUGAUACAUCUUUGUCUGAUA
This 69-nucleotide small nucleolar RNA is filed under the name Periophthalmus magnuspinnatus. RNAcentral describes it as "Small nucleolar RNA SNORD37 (ENSPMGG00000014695.1)". The record is from RNAcentral. Lineage: Eukaryota; Metazoa; Chordata; Actinopteri; Gobiiformes; Gobiidae.